GAUGAAGAACGCAGCGAAAUGCGAUAAGUAAUGUGAAUUGCAGAAUUCAGUGAAUCAUCGAAUCUUUGAACGCACCUUGCGCCCUUUGGCCAUUCCGAAGGGCAUGCCUGUUUGAGUAUCAUGAACACCUCAACUCUUCAUGGUUUUCCAUGAUGAGCUUGGACUUUGGGGGUCUUGCUGGCCUGUGGGUCGGCUCCUCUCAAAUGAAUCAGCUUGCCGGUUUUUGGUGGGCAUCACAGGUGUGAUAACUAUCUACGCUUGUGGUUUUCCACCAGGGUAGCCUUCAGCAGUGGAGGUUCACUGGAGCUUACAAAUGUCUCUCCUCUGUGAGGACAGCCCUUUGAAUGUUUGAUCUCAAAUCAGGUAGGACUACCCGCUGAACUUAAGCAUAUCAAUAAGCGGAGGA
Molecule: unclassified non-coding RNA, 406 nt
Filed under: soil metagenome
Description: partial contains 5.8S ribosomal RNA, internal transcribed spacer 2, and large subunit ribosomal RNA
Rfam family: 5.8S ribosomal RNA (bases 1-121)
Source: RNAcentral